This is an RNA transcript of Juglans regia (Persian walnut), 1391 nucleotides long. RefSeq lists it as uncharacterized. Lineage: Eukaryota; Viridiplantae; Streptophyta; Magnoliopsida; Fagales; Juglandaceae. The transcript is spliced from 4 exons. The record is from RefSeq and is a predicted model, not a curated record.
AUUCUCCCGUUGCUUCCCUGCUUCCUACCAUCAUCUUCCUCCCCCUGUUAUUUUCCUUUCGAUGUUCCCUUCCCAGAUCGAAGAUGCCUUCAACCUGUUAUCAUACUGAAGGCCGUUUGUUGAACCGAAUCAUAAGCUAUCCUUCAAAUAUUGUCAUGCCAAGACUGGUUCGGAAGGGUUCAUGCCACCAUUAGGCAAGAUGGAAAGUAGAGCUCGAUUUGUGGGAGGAGCGAGAAUUGCCAAAUAUGACAGUUAGAUCCUUCAUUAAGGGCCUACAGGCGUUGGUAUUUCUCUUUGCUAAAUUUGAAAUCAACUUGACCUUGAUGCUUUCCUAUAACAAAGUAUGUUUGAUUAGGAGCAGACCAACUAUUCAAUGAUUAUGCUGAUUGAGAAAAUAAGACUCGUAUUGAUCCAAGUUAUACACAUUGGAUAUUUCAUGGGGAGGGUGACAGUUGGAGUGUGAGUUCGUCAGACGGUGAUGACAAUACUACUUGUGAAUCUCAUAAUUUCAUUGAUGAUAUGGAUGAGAUGAUAGAGGACACCCGGGCUGCAUCAUUCUUUGACCAUGCUUUCGUUGAACAUGGCAGUACUUCAGAGCCCACCAUGAGUGAUCGGCAAUGGAAAACAUUUGACUAAUUGUUUGACGGUGCAAGACGUCCACUGUAUCCAACUUGUGAGAAGUUUUCUAAGCUCUCAUUUAUAGUCAAGUUGCUUCAUAUAAAAAAUGAAUGUAAUAUAAUUUGAUGUCAUGAUUUAAUUUUCUGUUUAUUAAAAACAGAAAACCCACAGAUUCCUGAUAUAAUUGCUUUGUCACACUCAUGGGACCUGAUUUUAUACCCCAACACAUUACUUGCUGACUUUUGGGAGCUAAGCUUUUCUUUGAAGUAUACAAGGGGGUUGAGUAGAUGCUUUGAGAUGUGCUACUUUUAUUGAUACAAGUUUUCAGGCUCUAGUAGAUGCUUUGAGAUGUGCUGAUUCAUGCUAUAAUAUGAUAGCAAAUGUAAAGUUAUGCAAUUUAAUAAUGGCUAUGGGUGGUUAACAUCAUGUUGUUUUUAUAAGUUUAAACAGUCUUGUUGCCUAAGCGUUAUAUAUGUUGGUUUGCCGAAAGAAGCAAUAAGCAUGGGUAAGGACAUAUUUUUAGUUGUCCGCAUCACUUGUUGUCGUUUGAAGUGAAGUUGAAGAUGUUCACAGUAAUGGCGUGAGACCUCACAUGAUAUUUGAGUACUUAUGGUUUAUUGUAUAGAUGGUGUUGUAAACUGCUAGUAUGAUGAAAUAAUGUUGAGAAUAGGGCAUUUGUGUACGUGUGAUGCUUCAUAUUCCAAUAUAUUGAUUAUGUAUAGUGAUUUUUAACUACCCAACAUUGAGAAAUGAUACUUGCAGUCGUGAGUGUG